ACUGUGAUAUUUGGACAAGGCACCAAGCUGAUUGUGACAAGCUCCAGCCUCCCUCCUCCUGUCCUGACAGUCUUCCCUCCGUCCAGUGCUGAGCUCCAGUCCAGCAAAGCCACUCUGGUCUGUCUGUCCAUUUUGCCCAGUGAGUCUAAGGGUUUUGCAGAUGUGAGCUGGUUGGCUGCUGGGAGUCCAGUGAGCAGUGGGAUCUCUACCAGCACCGCUGUUCAGCAACCAGACAAGACUUUCCAAAUCAGCAGCUAUCUGGCCAUCCAGACGUCAGACUGGAACAUGGAUAAGGUUUACACAUGUAAAGUGUCUUUGGGCUCCCAGACUUCAGAGAAAAACAUUAACAAGUCAGACUGUCCCACUGAAGAAUAGUACAGGAGCAGAAUGACCAUUUCAAACCUGCUUCUUUACUGUUUGUGCUGUUUGCUCAUUACAAGGUUUACAUGUUAGAAAAGAUGUCUGCAUGCUUGUAAUAAAUGUUGUGACAGUUAGGUGGAGGUGUCGUAUCAGCUUUGCAAUUCUUUCAAUAAAAAAUCUCUGAACAAAAACA
This is a non-coding RNA of Micropterus dolomieu (smallmouth bass), 553 nucleotides long. The record is from the annotation of a RefSeq genome assembly. Lineage: Eukaryota; Metazoa; Chordata; Actinopteri; Centrarchiformes; Centrarchidae.